UACGUAGGGUGCAAGCGUUAAUCGGAAUUACUGGGCGUAAAGCGUGCGCAGGCGGUUCGUUAAGUCAGAUGUGAAAGCCCCGGGCUCAACCUGGGAACUGCAUUUGAAACUGGCGGGCUUGAGUAUGGCAGAGGGGGGUGGAAUUCCGCGUGUAGCAGUGAAAUGCGUAGAGAUGCGGAGGAACACCGAUGGCGAAGGCAGCCCCCUGGGCCAAUACUGACGCUCAGGCACGAAAGCGUGGGGAGCGAACGGG
RNAcentral lists this ribosomal RNA (253 nucleotides) under uncultured bacterium. Its description in RNAcentral is "partial 16S ribosomal RNA". It matches the Rfam family "Bacterial small subunit ribosomal RNA", at positions 524 to 776 of the family's 1533-position model. The record is from RNAcentral.